CUUGGAUUUUUGGCUUCAAAUCUUCAUUUUCAAGGUUGAAAGGUUUUAAUGGCAUUUCGGGACUCCUUGGAUUAGAACCUUGUUGGUGAUAGUUUUGUCAGGUUUACUGAGUCAAAGAUGAUUGGAUCCUAGAACGAGGUGUUCCUCCCUAUCCAUUGCUCAAUAGGUUUACCACUGACAUUAAAUGUUAGCAACCAUGCCUAGAGUCACUCCGCUAACGGUCAAGGUCCAAUUAUGUAUAUAUGAAUACUUG
Theobroma cacao (cacao) is the source of this 253-nucleotide non-coding RNA. NCBI's taxonomy places the organism in Eukaryota, Viridiplantae, Streptophyta, Magnoliopsida, Malvales, Malvaceae. The record is from RefSeq and is a predicted model, not a curated record.